RNAcentral lists this ribosomal RNA (377 nucleotides) under uncultured organism. Its description in RNAcentral is "bacterial SSU rRNA". It matches the Rfam family "Bacterial small subunit ribosomal RNA", at positions 367 to 762 of the family's 1533-position model. The record is from RNAcentral.
CGCAAUGGGCGAAAGCCUGACGGAGCGACGCCGUGUGUGCGAUGAAGUCCUUCGGGAUGUAAAGCACUGUCAGUGGGGAAGAUAUUGACGGUACCCACAGAGGAAGGCCCGGCUAACUACGUGCCAGCAGCCGCGGUAAUACGUAGGGGCCAAGCGUUAUCCGGAAUUAUUGGGCGUAAAGGGCGUGUAGGCGGCCUGAUAAGUCAGAUGUUAAAUCUACAGGCUCAACCUGUAGCCGCAUUUGAUACUGUCGGGCUAGAGAGUGGUAGAGGAAAGUGGAACUUACGGUGUAGCGGUGAAAUGCGUAGAUAUCGUAAGGAACACCAGUGGCGAAGGCGACUUUCUGGGCCACUUCUGACGCUGAGACGCGAAAGCCA